This 253-nucleotide ribosomal RNA is filed under the name uncultured bacterium. RNAcentral describes it as "partial 16S ribosomal RNA". It matches the Rfam family "Bacterial small subunit ribosomal RNA", at positions 524 to 776 of the family's 1533-position model. The record is from RNAcentral.
UACGAAGGGUGCAAGCGUUACUCGGAAUUACUGGGCGUAAAGGGUGCGUAGGUGGUUUUUUAAGUCAGAGGUGAAAUCCUGGAGCUCAACUCCAGAACUGCCUUUGAUACUGAGGAUCUUGAGUUCGGGAGAGGUGAGUGGAACUGCGAGUGUAGAGGUGAAAUUCGUAGAUAUUCGCAAGAACACCAGUGGCGAAGGCGGCUCACUGGCCCGAUACUGACGCUGAGGCACGAAAGCGUGGGGAGCAAACAGG